UACGUAGGGUGCGAGCGUUAAUCGGAAUUACUGGGCGUAAAGCGUGCGCAGGCGGUUCGCCAAGUCAGGUGUGAAAUCCCCGGGCUUAACCUGGGAAUUGCGCUUGAAACUAGCGGGCUUGAGUAUGGGAGAGGGAUGUAGAAUUCCAGGUGUAGCGGUAAAAUGCGUAGAUAUCUGGAGGAAUACCGGUGGCGAAGGCGGCAUCCUGGACCAUUACUGACGCUGAGGCGCGAAAGCUAGGGGAGCAAACAGG
RNAcentral lists this ribosomal RNA (253 nucleotides) under uncultured bacterium. Its description in RNAcentral is "partial 16S ribosomal RNA". It matches the Rfam family "Bacterial small subunit ribosomal RNA", at positions 524 to 776 of the family's 1533-position model. The record is from RNAcentral.